CCCUUAGAUGUCCUGGGCCGCACGCGCGCUACACUGAUGCAUUCAACGAGUUUUACCUUGGCCGAGAGGCCUGGGCAAUCUUUUAAACCUGCAUCGUGAUAGGGAUAGAUUAUUGCAAUUAUUAAUCUUGAACGAGGAAUUCCUAGUAAACGCAAAUCAUCAAUUUGCAUUGAUUACGUCCCUGCCCUUUGUACACACCGCCCGUCGCACCUACCGAUUGAAUGGUCCGGUGAAGCCUCGGGAUUGUGGCCAGUUCACUUUAUUGGGAGUUGGCUGUGCGAACUUGUCUAAACCUUAUCAUUUAGAGGAAGGUGAAGUCGUAACA
Molecule: ribosomal RNA, 325 nt
Filed under: uncultured eukaryote
Lineage: Eukaryota
Description: partial 18S ribosomal RNA
Rfam family: Eukaryotic small subunit ribosomal RNA
Source: RNAcentral